UCGUGUCGUGAGAUGUUGGGUUAAGUCCCGCAACGAGCGCAACCCUCACCUCUUGUUGCCAACAGGUCAUGCUGGGCACUCUAGAGGAACUGCCCCGGUCAACGGGGAGGAAGGCGGGGAUGACGUCAAGUCAUCAUGCCCCUUACGUCCUGAGCUACACACGUGCUACAAUGGCCGGUACAAAGGGAUGCCACACCGCGAGGUAGAGCUAAACCCAAAAAGCCGGUCUAAGUUCAGAUUGGAGUCUGCAACUCGACUCUAUGAAGGAGGAAUCGCUAGUAAUCGC
Molecule: ribosomal RNA, 286 nt
Filed under: uncultured Methylomirabilota bacterium
Lineage: Bacteria; Methylomirabilota (SeqCode)
Description: uncultured candidate division NC10 bacterium partial 16S ribosomal RNA
Rfam family: Bacterial small subunit ribosomal RNA
Source: RNAcentral